GUGGACCUCAGACUUGAUGGCUGAUGCCCUUGCCGCCAUAUUGUAAUGAGGCAAAUCAAGGAUACCUCCUUCAAGGAAAAAUGGGAAGACAAGAGAGAGACUGCACCCCUAGAUCCCAUAUCUCCAGACUUUCUUUGCAUGAGUGCAAAUAGUUAUGAUCUCUGACAGAGUAAGUAAGCCAUAGGUGCAAAGGGAAUUAUGAAUAUAUGAAUAAAUUCCAGUAGAUGAAAAAAAAAUGAACCCCAAUAUUAUGUAUAACUAUAACGUGCCAAAGAAUGUAUUUUUAAACAGAUAAAAAUGCUUUAUCAAAAGUAUAUAAUAGCAUAAACUUACUAAAAUAAAUUAUAUAUUUUUACAAUUAAAAAAAAAAAAGAAAACAAGACAGGUAAGAGAAAAAAGCGAUGUAGAGUCCAAAUCCAACUGUGCAUGAUGUUUGAUGGAGCCAGUCGCUGUGGAAAGGGCAUGUUUUCUGGGGUGCCGAGGAAAUGCCAUUAUCAGUGUAAAACAAACACGAGGGACUUGGUCUGGGCCUGGAGAUCCCUCUGAGUCUGGUGGCCAAGGGACCUGGUGGCAGGGCCUGCAGUGGAGAUGCCCUUUUUCUUUUUCUUCCCCAGAGCAGCAAUGCAGACAUUCCCAGCUGCAGUGGGACUUUCACUUGGUCGGACACUCUGACGUCCUGGAGGCCUGGCAGGGGCAAGGCAAGCACCACACAGCUGGAUGGGGUGGGAAGGAGCCCAAAGCAAACUGCACAGAAGACUCUGCUCAUGCGGCCUUGGCAGACCCCAGAGAGACCAAAAGGCUUCCAUUUUGAGUGUCUGAGGGGAGGAUCAUACAUACAAGGACCCUGCACCCCUACUUGUUCUUCUGACUUCCGAGUUGGGGUUUGGAUAGGUAUGAAGGCAGAAUUAGAUAGACAGUCAGUAUGGAUAGGUAAAUUGAGUCAGAUCAGAUCUAGGAGGCCAAUUUGAGUGAGUCCUGGAAGUUGGAGACUGUCCCCUGAAGGGAUUGAAAUGCCUUCAGAGCCCUUCCUCCACCCUAUCAAGAUAACAGCCUGGCUCCAACCUGUUGCCCAGGAAUUGCUCCUCCCUACAGAGAGUUCUAAAGUUGUUAAUUAAUGUGUCCUGGACUGCUCCCUCCUCCAGGGCUGCUCCAUCCUCCCAACCAGGCCCUUCACCCCAUCCAUCUGCCUCUCACCUUUUGGCCAUCCCAUCGAGCAUCUCCUGGGCCUGGUCAGGACCAGGAAGGAAAGAGAUAAGGAGAAGAGAGCAGGAGAACAAAGGAAGCCUAAGAUAUAUUUAAAAAGGCAGAAGGCCUUGCUUCUUGGGAUACCAGGAUACCAGCUAUGGCCCCCUUCUCCCUCCCUGGAGAAACCUGUGUUACCCCUUUUUAAAUAAACCCUGCUUCACAUGCUUCACGUGCUUCUCUAAUGUUAUACUUCAUCAUGUGAAGGAGCAGAAUUCAUCACGGAAAACGAGGGGUAUCAGGUGUAUGAGAGAUUCUCUCGGCCAUUUUUUAAAUGAUUAGGCACCAAAUUACACUCAGUUUAAAAUAUCCUGCAAGCCACAUCCAUUGCAGCCAUGCACACUGCUGUGGCGAACCCCUUACAGGGAACAUUGCCAAAUCCAGUAUUGUUUUGUUUUGUUUAAUUUUUUUUUUUGUGGUUG
RNAcentral lists this long non-coding RNA (1664 nucleotides) under Marmota monax (woodchuck). The record is from RNAcentral. Lineage: Eukaryota; Metazoa; Chordata; Mammalia; Rodentia; Sciuridae.